UCCGAGUUGACCCCGGCAGUCUCCUAUGAGUCCCCACCAUCACGUGCUGGCAACAUAGAACGAGGGUUGCGCUCGUUGCGGGACUUAACCCAACAUCUCACGACACGAGCUGACGACAACCAUGCACCACCUGUGAACCGGCCCCAAAGGGGAAACCACAUUUCUGCGGCGGUCCGGUCCAUGUCAAGCCUUGGUAAGGUGGGGAUGACGUCCCAAGGUUGGUU
This 224-nucleotide unclassified non-coding RNA is filed under the name uncultured Micrococcaceae bacterium. RNAcentral's name for it is "contains 16S-23S intergenic spacer region". Lineage: Bacteria; Bacillati; Actinomycetota; Actinomycetes; Micrococcales; Micrococcaceae. The record is from RNAcentral.